UACGAAGGGUGCAAACGUUGCUCGGAAUUAUUGGGCGUAAAGCGCACGUAGGCGGCUUAGCAAGUUGGAUGUGAAAGCCCUCGGCUUAACCAAGGAAGUGCAUCCAAAACUGCUGAGCUUGAGUAGUUAAGAGGAUCGCGGAAUUCCCGGUGUAGAGGUGAAAUUCGUAGAUAUCGGGAGGAACACCAGUGGCGAAGGCGGCGAUCUGGGAACAUACUGACGCUGAGGAGCGAAAAGCGUGGGGAGCGAACAGG
RNAcentral lists this ribosomal RNA (254 nucleotides) under uncultured bacterium. RNAcentral describes it as "partial 16S ribosomal RNA". It matches the Rfam family "Bacterial small subunit ribosomal RNA", at positions 524 to 776 of the family's 1533-position model. The record is from RNAcentral.